Molecule: ribosomal RNA, 583 nt
Filed under: Geastrum hieronymi
Lineage: Eukaryota; Fungi; Basidiomycota; Agaricomycetes; Geastrales; Geastraceae
Description: eukaryotic LSU rRNA
Rfam family: 5.8S ribosomal RNA (bases 192-346)
Source: RNAcentral
CAUUACUGAAAAAUAGGGUUUUGAGACUGCGUCCUUAAACCGGCGUGUGCUCGACUCUUACUCUUUCAUCCACACACACCUUUGUGCACCAUGGGGGGACGAAGAAAAAAAAAGUCCCCCCCUUUUUACAUUUAAAACACCAGUUAUAUGCAUGUCUUAAGAUGCUCUACGGAGUCAUAUUAUAUAUGUACAACUUUCAACAACGGAUCUCUUGGCUUUCGCAUCGAUGAAGAACGCAGCGAACGUGCGAAACGUAAUGUGAAUUGCAGAAUUCAGUGAAUCAUCGAAUCUUUGAACGCAUCUUGCGCUCCUUGGUAUUCCGAGGAGCAUGCCUGUUUGAGUGUCUUGAAUACCUCUCAAUUUCAAUCUUUUUUUUUGGGUUUGGAAUUGGACUUGGGCAUUGUUGUGUGAUCACAACUUGUCCUAAAUGCAUUAGCGAUCUGUCUUUGAUCACAAUACAAUGUGAUAAGAAAAGCAUUGUGAGGAUCAAAAGGGGGGAUGGCUUCUAAUUGUCAAUAGACAACUCCAUGUCAUUUGACCUCAAAUCAGGUAGGACUACCCGCUGAACUUAAGCAUAUCAAUA